UACGUAGGUGGCAAGCGUUGUCCGGAAUUAUUGGGCGUAAAGCGCGCGCAGGCGGUCCUUUAAGUCUGAUGUGAAAGCCCACGGCUCAACCGUGGAGGGUCAUUGGAAACUGGGGGACUUGAGUGCAGAAGAGGAAAGCGGAAUUCCACGUGUAGCGGUGAAAUGCGUAGAGAUGUGGAGGAACACCAGUGGCGAAGGCGGCUUUCUGGUCUGUAACUGACGCUGAGGAGCGAAAGCGUGGGGAGCGAACAGG
Molecule: ribosomal RNA, 253 nt
Filed under: uncultured bacterium
Lineage: Bacteria
Description: partial 16S ribosomal RNA
Rfam family: Bacterial small subunit ribosomal RNA
Source: RNAcentral